AACGAACGCUGGCGGCAUGCCUAACACAUGCAAGUCGAACGAGACCUUCGGGUCUAGUGGCGCACGGGUGCGUAACGCGUGGGAACCUGCCCUUAGGUUCGGAAUAACUCCCCGAAAGGGGUGCUAAUACCGGAUAAUGUCUUCGGACCAAAGAUUUAUCGCCUUUGGAUGGGCCCGCGUUGGAUUAGCUAGUUGGUAGGGUAAAAGCCUACCAAGGCGACGAUCCAUAGCUGGUCUGAGAGGAUGAUCAGCCACACUGGGACUGAGACACGGCCCAGACUGCUACGGGAGGCAGCAGUGGGGAAUAUUGGACAAUGGGCGAAAGCCUGAUCCAGCAAUGCCGCGUGAGUGAUGAAGGCCUUAGGGUUGUAAAGCUCUUUUACCCGGGAUGAUAAUGACAGUACCGGGAGAAUAAGCUCCGGCUAACUACGUG
This 433-nucleotide ribosomal RNA is filed under the name uncultured bacterium. RNAcentral's name for it is "partial 16S ribosomal RNA". It matches the Rfam family "Bacterial small subunit ribosomal RNA", at positions 29 to 507 of the family's 1533-position model. The record is from RNAcentral.